GAUACAUCUCCACGUGUGGAGGUGCUGGCUCCGCCACUAUCACUAGCAGGCCUACUUGACUGAGUGGAUACAUCUCCACGUGUGGAGGUGCUGGCUCCGCCACUAUCACUAGCAGGCCUACUUGACUGAGUGGAUACAUCUCCACGUGUGGAGGUGCUGGCUCCGCCACUAUCACUAGCAGGCCUACUUGACUGAGUGGAUACAUCUCCACGUGUGGAGGUGCUGGCUCCGCCACUAUCACUAGCAGGCCUACUUGACUGAGUGGAUACAUCUCCACGUGUGGAGGUGCUGGCUCCGCCACUAUCACUAGCAGGCCUACUUGACUGAGUGGAUACAUCUCCACGUGUGGAGGUGCUGGCUCCGCCACUAUCACUAGCAGGCCUACUUGACUGAGUGGAUACAUCUCCACGUGUGGAGGUGCUGGCUCCGCCACUAACACUAGCAGGCCUACUUGACUGAGUGGAUACUGGCUCCGCCACUAUCACUAGCAGGCCUACUUGACUGAGUGGAUACAUCUCCACGUGUGGAGGUGCUGGCUCCGCCACUAUCACUAGCAGGCCUACUUGACUGAGUGGAUACAUCUCCACGUGUGGAGGUGCUGGCUCCGCCACUAUCACUAGCAGGCCCGCUAGUUUCUCGAUGCUCCACUACAGCUCGCUUCACAGUUGGGUGCACAGUUCGCAUCUGCCGGUGUAGGUUGUGCGUAGAACAGGCUUUAUAUGAGAUCUUGUUUUGACAAAUUCUACACUGUGCUCUAACAUUGUCUACAUUAAUGAAAUGCA
Molecule: long non-coding RNA, 782 nt
Organism: Oncorhynchus keta (chum salmon)
Lineage: Eukaryota; Metazoa; Chordata; Actinopteri; Salmoniformes; Salmonidae
Exons: 3
Source: RefSeq, a predicted model, not a curated record